UACGGGGGGGGUAAGCGUUGUUCGGAAUUACUGGGCGUAAAGCGUGCGCAGGCGGUUUUGUAAGCCAGAUGUGAAAUCCCCGGGCUCAACCUGGGAAUGGCAUUUGGGACUGCAAGGCUUGAGUGCGGCAGAGGAGACUGGAAUUCCUGGUGUAGCAGUGAAAUGCGUAGAUAUCAGGAGGAAUACCGAUGGCGAAGGCAGGUCUCUGGGCUGACACUGACGCUCAUGCACGAAAGCGUGGGGAGCAAACAGG
This 253-nucleotide ribosomal RNA is filed under the name uncultured bacterium. RNAcentral describes it as "partial 16S ribosomal RNA". It matches the Rfam family "Bacterial small subunit ribosomal RNA", at positions 524 to 776 of the family's 1533-position model. The record is from RNAcentral.